GGGGAAUAUUGGACAAUGGGCGCAAGCCUGAUCCAGCAAUGCCGCGUGGGUGAAGAAGGUUUUCGGAUUGUAAAGCCCUUUCGGCGGGGACGAUGAUGACGGUACCCGCAGAAGAAGCUCCGGCUAACUUCGUGCCAGCAGCCGCGGUAAUACGAAGGGGGCUAGCGUUGCUCGGAAUGACUGGGCGUAAAGGGCGCGUAGGCGGUUGGUACAGUCAGAUGUGAAAUGCCUGGGCUGAACCUGGGGGCUGCAUGUGAUGCGUGCUGGCUUGAGUGGGGAAGAGGGUCGUGGAAUUCCCAGUGUAGAGGUGAAAUUCGUAGAUAUUGGGAAGAACACCGGUGGCGAAGGCGGCGACCUAGUCCUUGACUGACGCUGAGGCGCGAAAGCGUGGGGAGCAAAC
RNAcentral lists this ribosomal RNA (400 nucleotides) under uncultured bacterium. RNAcentral's name for it is "bacterial SSU rRNA". It matches the Rfam family "Bacterial small subunit ribosomal RNA", at positions 356 to 773 of the family's 1533-position model. The record is from RNAcentral.